AGCUAACGCAGGGAACUGAAACAUCUUAGUACCUGUAGGAAGAGAAAAUAAAUGAAUGAUUCCCCCAGUAGUGGCGAGGGAACGGGGAAGAGCCCAAACCGCAGUUGUUACGGCAUCUGCGGGGUUGUAGGACCACGAUGUCGCAUGACAUCUUGCGAGCAGAACAUUCUGGAAAGUAUGACCACAGACGGUGACGGUCCGGUAUGCGAAGCAAGACGAAGCGUAGUGGUAUCCUGAGUAGCGCG
This 245-nucleotide ribosomal RNA is filed under the name uncultured Bacteroidales bacterium. Its description in RNAcentral is "partial 23S ribosomal RNA". It matches the Rfam family "Bacterial large subunit ribosomal RNA", at positions 178 to 419 of the family's 2925-position model. Lineage: Bacteria; Pseudomonadati; Bacteroidota; Bacteroidia; Bacteroidales. The record is from RNAcentral.